CAGAGUUGCAAAACUCCCACAAACCAUCGCGAAUCUUACCCGUACGGUUGCCUCGGCGCUGGCGGUCCGGAAGGCCCUCGGGCCCCCGGAUCCUCGGGUCUCCCGCUCGCGGGAGGCUGCCCGCCGGAGUGCCGAAACUAAACUCUUGAUAUCUUAUGUCUCUCUGAGUACACUUUUAAAUAAGUCAA
RNAcentral lists this unclassified non-coding RNA (188 nucleotides) under soil metagenome. RNAcentral describes it as "partial internal transcribed spacer 1". The record is from RNAcentral.